AAUCCACUUCCUCCCAGUUUGGGUGGAGAACUGUCGGUUGUCCAUGCAAUACUGGACUCUGAUUAAAAGCAGUAGGUUUGUGAUCAGGCUGGUGGCCUGGGACAUUGUGUGCUAGAGACGCGGUUCGCGCCGCAAGUCUUCUCACAAUGGGUCCUGGGUCCUUUGAAAAGCUGGCUUGAUCUCUGCCUGCCUUAGUGCUGUUACUGCCUUGCGGUAGUCAAUAGUACAACCCCACAC
RNAcentral lists this unclassified non-coding RNA (237 nucleotides) under uncultured Rozellomycota. RNAcentral describes it as "uncultured Cryptomycota sequence contains ITS2". The record is from RNAcentral. Lineage: Eukaryota; Fungi; Rozellomycota.